AGCUCCAAUAGCGUAUAUUAAAGUUGUUGCAGUUAAAAAGCUCGUAGUUGGACUUUGGAUUGUGUCUAAUGGUCUGCCGUGAGGUAUGCACUGUUGGGCACUUUCUUCUUCUCAAAGACUAUGCGUGCUCUUAAUUGAGUGUGUGUAGGGUUUGGGACUUUUACUGUGAGAAAAUUAGAGUGUUUAAAGCAGGCUUUUGCUUGAAUAUUGCAGCAUGGAAUAAUGGAAUAGGAUCACGAUCUUAUUUUGUUGGUUUCUAGGAUCGAGAUAAUGAUUAAUAGGGAUAGUUGGGGACAUUAAUAUUUAAUUGUCAGAGGUGAAAUUCUUGGAUUUAUGAAAGAUUAACUUCUGCGAAAGCAUUUGUCAAGGAUGUUUUCGUUAAUCAAGAACGAAAGUACGC
This 400-nucleotide ribosomal RNA is filed under the name phytoplankton environmental sample. RNAcentral describes it as "partial small subunit ribosomal RNA". It matches the Rfam family "Eukaryotic small subunit ribosomal RNA", at positions 587 to 994 of the family's 1831-position model. The record is from RNAcentral.